Molecule: long non-coding RNA, 933 nt
Organism: Salvia miltiorrhiza (redroot sage)
Lineage: Eukaryota; Viridiplantae; Streptophyta; Magnoliopsida; Lamiales; Lamiaceae
Exons: 2
Source: RefSeq, a predicted model, not a curated record
UUUUAUUCAGUCUGGGCCAUUCAUAUUUUAUUGAGUUGGGCCUCAUCUUUUAAAUUUAUAUGGGCUAUUAUUUAUUUAAGCAUGAGCUCUAUUUCAUCUAUUUAAAUGGCUUCCCUAUUUUAUUUAAUUAGACUAUUAAUUAGUUUGAUUAAUUAUUUUUAAAGACUUUGGAUUGCCUUCAAUUAAUUAAAUUGGGCUUUCUUAUUUUUAAUUAAUUGAACUAUUAUUAGUUUGAUUAAUUUAUUUAAAGGAUAAUUUUUAUAAUAAUAUUAAAUUAUUAUUAAGUGCAUAUUUUAAGUAAUUACUUAUCAUAUGCUAAGCAUGACAUGACAUUUCAUUUGCAUCAUGAAAUAAAAAGUAUUUAUGAUUUAAUUGGUUUUAUUUAUAAUUCCAAUUAUUAAAGAAAGAUGAGUAAGAAUAUUGUUGGUGUUCUUAACUCAAGAGAAAUGUUUUCAAUUAUUUAUUCAUUAAAUUUUGAAAACCCGGCUAAGUGAAUCAUAGAAUAUUAAGCACUUCACCAUGAAUUAAGAUUAGCUUCACGAGACCUAUUAAGAAUAGAAUUUCUUGUAGGCUUUGUGACCAGGGGGAUUAGCGCUGCUUUUCCAAGACAGGUUUAUAAGUGAUUACGAUCUUCAGGCUUUGCCUAACCAGGUUGGCUGGCCGGUGCUGACGGGACGGAGCUGAGGCUAGAGUUAAAUUCCUAUGUUAGACUUCCGCUGUAGCAAUUACUCAUUUCAGUCUUUUGUUUUUCCAACUUAAGAUCUUCAUGUUAAAUUUCAAAUGAUAUAUUUGACCGAGCUUAGAUUCUUCACUACUAAAUUUAUGCCAAUGAAUGUCGGUUGUCAGAAGCAUGAAACAAAACUUAUGAUCCAAAGGGGCAUAGCCCGAGUUUCUAUCCUAUUUCGGGUUUUAACAAGGUAUUUCCCUUGUUUA